GACGAACGCUGGCGGCGUGCUUAACCCAUGCAAGUCGAACGGAAGGGCCCUGCUUUUGUGGGGUGCUCGAGUGGCAAACGGGUGAGUAACACGUGAGUAUCCUGCCCUUGACUUUGGGAUAACUUCAGGAAACUGGGGCUCAUACCGGAUAGGAGCUCCUGCUGCAUGGUGGGGGUUGGAAAGUUUCGGCGGUUGGGGAUGGACUCGCGGCUUAUCGGCUUGUUGGUGGGGUAGUGGCUUACCAAGGCUUUGACGGGUAGCCGGCCUGAGAGGGUGACCGGCAACAGUGGGACUGAGAUACGGCCGAGAGUCCUACGGGAGGCAGGAGUGGGGAAGAAUGCCUGAUGGGGGGAAGUAGGAUGCAGCAACGCGGCGUGCGGGAUGACGGCCUGCGGGUAGGAAACGGCUUUGGGGUGUGACGAAGCGUGAGUGACGGUAACGGGUAAAGAAGCACCGGCUAACUACGUG
RNAcentral lists this ribosomal RNA (468 nucleotides) under uncultured bacterium. RNAcentral describes it as "partial 16S ribosomal RNA". It matches the Rfam family "Bacterial small subunit ribosomal RNA", at positions 28 to 507 of the family's 1533-position model. The record is from RNAcentral.